AUUGAACGCUGGCGGCAUGCUUUACACAUGCAAGUCGAACGGUAACAGGCCGCAAGGUGCUGACGAGUGGCGAACGGGUGAGUAAUGCAUCGGAACGUGCCCAGUCGUGGGGGAUAACUACUCGAAAGAGUAGCUAAUACCGCCUACGAUCUAUGGGUGAAAGCGGGGGACCGUAAGGCCUCGCGCGAUUGGAGCGGCCGAUGUCAGAUUAGGUAGUUGGUGGGGGAAAGGCUCACCAAGCCAACGAUCUGUAGCUGGUCUGAGAGGACGACCAGCCACACUGGGACUGAGACACGGCCCAGACUCCUACGGGAGGCAGCAGUGGGGAAUUUUGGACAAUGGGCGCAAGCCUGAUCCAGCAAUGCCGCGUGCAGGAAGAAGGCCUUCGGAUUGUAAACUGCUUUUGUACGGAACGAAACGGCUCUGGUUAAUACCCGGCGGUAAUGACGGUACCGUAAGAAUAAGCACCGGCUAACUACGUG
RNAcentral lists this ribosomal RNA (482 nucleotides) under uncultured bacterium. Its description in RNAcentral is "partial 16S ribosomal RNA". It matches the Rfam family "Bacterial small subunit ribosomal RNA", at positions 30 to 507 of the family's 1533-position model. The record is from RNAcentral.